This 174-nucleotide ribosomal RNA is filed under the name uncultured Bifidobacterium sp. RNAcentral describes it as "partial 16S ribosomal RNA". It matches the Rfam family "Bacterial small subunit ribosomal RNA", at positions 338 to 524 of the family's 1533-position model. The record is from RNAcentral. Lineage: Bacteria; Bacillati; Actinomycetota; Actinomycetes; Bifidobacteriales; Bifidobacteriaceae.
CCUACGGGAGGCAGCAGUGGGGAAUAUUGCACAAUGGGCGCAAGCCUGAUGCAGCGACGCCGCGUGAGGGAUGGAGGCCUUCGGGUUGUAAACCUCUUUUAUCGGGGAGCAAGCGAGAGUGAGUUUACCCGUUGAAUAAGCACCGGCUAACUACGUGCCAGCAGCCGCGGUAAU